CUGUUAGCUUUUACAUUCAAACUUCGAACUUGAAUCCUCAUGCUUUGAGCUAAGCUG
RNAcentral lists this transfer RNA (57 nucleotides) under Leipothrix sp. 1 XFX-2017. RNAcentral's name for it is "tRNA-Arg". The record is from RNAcentral. Lineage: Eukaryota; Metazoa; Arthropoda; Arachnida; Trombidiformes; Eriophyidae.